Molecule: ribosomal RNA, 501 nt
Filed under: uncultured bacterium
Lineage: Bacteria
Description: partial 16S ribosomal RNA
Rfam family: Bacterial small subunit ribosomal RNA
Source: RNAcentral
AUUGAACGCUGGCGGCAUGCCUUACACAUGCAAGUCGAACGGCAGCACGGGUGCUUGCACCUGGUGGCGAGUGGCGAACGUGUGAGUAAUACAUCGGAACGUACCUUAUCGUGGGGGAUAACGCAGCGAAAGUUGCGCUAAUACCGCAUACGCCCUGAGGGGGAAAGCGGGGGACCGUAAGGCCUCGCGCGAUUAGAGCGGCCGAUGUCUGAUUAGCUUGUUGGUGAGGUAAAAGCUCACCAAGGCGAUGAUCAGUAGCUGGUCUGAGAGGACGAUCAGCCACACUGGGACUGAGACACGGCCCAGACUCCUACGGGAGGCAGCAGUGGGGAAUUUUGGACAAUGGAGGCAACCCUGAUCCAGCAAUGCCGCGUGAGUGAAGAAGGCCUUCGGGCUGUAAAGCUCUUUUGUCAGGGAAGAAACAGCAGCUCUAACACAGUCUGCGAAUGACGGUACCUGAAGAAUAAGCACCGGCUAACUACGUGCCAGCCGCCGCAGUAA